GCCGUCGUGGUGGAAUUGGUAGACACGCUAUCUUGAGGGGGUAGUGGCGAAAGCUGUACGAGUUCGAGUCUCGUCGACGGCA
RNAcentral lists this transfer RNA (82 nucleotides) under Paracandidimonas soli. Its description in RNAcentral is "tRNA-Leu". It matches the Rfam family "tRNA". Rfam says of the family: Transfer RNA (tRNA) molecules are approximately 80 nucleotides in length. Their secondary structure includes four short double-helical elements and three loops (D, anti-codon, and T loops). Further hydrogen bonds mediate the characteristic L-shaped molecular structure. tRNAs have two regions of fundamental functional importance: the anti-codon, which is responsible for specific mRNA codon recognition, and the 3' end, to which the tRNAs corresponding amino acid is attached (by aminoacyl-tRNA synthetases). tRNAs cope with the degeneracy of the genetic code in two manners: having more than one tRNA (with a specific anti-codon) for a particular amino acid; and 'wobble' base-pairing, i.e. permitting non-standard base-pairing at the 3rd anti-codon position. The record is from RNAcentral. Lineage: Bacteria; Pseudomonadati; Pseudomonadota; Betaproteobacteria; Burkholderiales; Alcaligenaceae.